This 413-nucleotide ribosomal RNA is filed under the name Streptococcus gordonii. Its description in RNAcentral is "bacterial SSU rRNA". It matches the Rfam family "Bacterial small subunit ribosomal RNA", at positions 28 to 423 of the family's 1533-position model. The record is from RNAcentral. Lineage: Bacteria; Bacillati; Bacillota; Bacilli; Lactobacillales; Streptococcaceae.
GACGAACGCUGGCGGCGUGCCUAAUACAUGCAAGUAGAACGCACAGUUUAUACCGUAGCUUGCUACACCAUAGACUGUGAGUUGCGAACGGGUGAGUAACGCGUAGGUAACCUGCCUGGUAGCGGGGGAUAACUAUUGGAAACGAUAGCUAAUACCGCAUAAUAUUGAUUAUUGCAUGAUAAUUGAUUGAAAGAUGCAACUGCAUCACUACCAGAUGGACCUGCGUUGUAUUAGCUAGUAGGUGAGGUAACGGCUCACCUAGGCGACGAUACAUAGCCGACCUGAGAGGGUGAUCGGCCACACUGGGACUGAGACACGGCCCAGACUCCUACGGGAGGCAGCAGUAGGGAAUCUUCCGCAAUGGGCGCAAGCCUGACGGAGCAACGCCGCGUGAGUGAAGAAGGUCUUCGGAU